Molecule: small nuclear RNA, 107 nt
Organism: Vombatus ursinus (common wombat)
Lineage: Eukaryota; Metazoa; Chordata; Mammalia; Diprotodontia; Vombatidae
Source: Ensembl
GUGUUCACUUUGGCAGCACAUACACUAAAAUUGGAAUGACACAGAGAAAAUUAGCUUGGCCCAUGCGCAAGGAUGACACACAAAUUCUUGAAACGUUCCAUAUUUUU